This 390-nucleotide unclassified non-coding RNA is filed under the name soil metagenome. RNAcentral describes it as "partial contains 5.8S ribosomal RNA, internal transcribed spacer 2, and large subunit ribosomal RNA". The stretch from base 1 to 122 matches the Rfam family "5.8S ribosomal RNA", at positions 35 to 154 of the family's 154-position model. The record is from RNAcentral.
GAUGAAGAACGUAGCAAAAUGCGAUACUUGGUGUGAAUUGCAGAAUCCCGUGAACCAUCGAGUCUUUGAACGCAAGUUGCGCCCGAAGCCAUUAGGCCGAGGGCACGCCUGCCUGGGCGUCACACGUCGUUGCCCCCCAUCUACUCCUUCGGGAUUGCGGGGGGCGGAUGAUGGCCUCCCGUGCGCCUCGUCGCGCGGUUGGCAUAAAUGCCAAGUCCUCGGCGACGCACGCCACGACAAUCGGUGGUUGCGAAACCUCGGUUGCCCGUCAUGUGCGGUGGUCGCGCAUCGAGGGCUCGAAAAAAUUGCCGGGCUCCGGCUCGGCUUUCAACGCGACCCCAGGUCAGGCGGGGUUACCCGCUGAAUUUAAGCAUAUCAAUAAGCGGAGGA